RNAcentral lists this long non-coding RNA (6930 nucleotides) under Homo sapiens (human). Its description in RNAcentral is "HSALNT0071070". Lineage: Eukaryota; Metazoa; Chordata; Mammalia; Primates; Hominidae. The record is from RNAcentral.
AUUAACUUCCUCCAAAGCAAAUUUACUGAUGAAACAUUGUUUUCUAGCUAUCUUUAACUUCUAGUACUUACCACAUUGUAAUACUUUUGUUUUAAUGUGAAUAUUUGUUUACCUCAUUAGAUAGUAAUGUUCAGUGUCUCACUUAUCUUUCUAGUGGCUUAUCUGGGACAGCUAACAAAUAAUGUAUAAAUAGAACUAUAGAAGAAAUGACUGUCUGCCAAAAUGUGUGCUUUCCCUUCCAUAUGGUUAAUUUGUUGCUCAGAGAGAGUUACCUAGCUAUGGACUACAUUUCCCAGCUCCUGUACAAUGCAGGGGACUAGUUCUCAGCAGUCAAAGUUUAGCAGAAGCAAUAUAACACUUCUAGAGCAGGGAUUUUAACAACUUGUUAUUUUCUCCUUUUGCUUUUGCCUUCCCCUUGCCGAAUACAGAGUAUUCCAAGGCACUGGAGAAAGAAGCAGCAAAAAUACAGAAGAAGUCUGUGUUCCUGAAGAACAAUGUGGAACUGAGCUACCUUUUCUGCCAGAAACACACUCAUUGGAAAAUGCAUAAAUCUAUGUCACACGGAAGACAAAGAAGGUAAUUUAAGCACAGCCUCAGAUUUUUCUGAAAUCUCCCUCAAAUUCUAGAGUCAAGAAAACAAGUUUGUAACAGGACUGCUACAGAGACAAUUUUGUUGUUGUUGUUAUCUUCCUCUCUGUCAGUAAACUAGACUUUUUCUUUGCUUGCUUAAGCAUACGUCUUAUAGUAGGUGUUCAAAAUACAUUUGUUCAGUAGAAGAAUUCUGAUCUUGAGGAAAAUGGCUGACAGUUCCAUGUACUUUUUAAAUGAUCUGUGAAUUUCACCUUAAAAAUAAUGAUCAUGGCUACAUCCUCUCAACUAUGAUCAGAAGCUAGUAACAACUCAGUAAAGAAUUUUAUGGUAUAUGUCUAUCUUCCUGGCACCAAAAUUAUUUUUUCUUUUAUUUUAUGGCUUAGAAUUAAUGAUAAGAUUGAUGAACAAAGCCUAAACAAUAAGUGAAAAUAUUAAUUAUAAAAGAGUCUGAGCAUGUUAAUUUUCAUGAAAAUUUGCCUGGUAUGAAUAAAGAGUAACAGCUUGUAAGUGAAGAAUAUAUAUCAUAUAUGUGUCCUUUGUAUUUAAUAUAUGUAAAUGAAAUGUCUAAUAAAUUACUGAUAACCACAGUGCUUCAAAAUAUCAGGAAAUUGUUUCCUCUUUGAGAUGUGAUCAUUCCUCCGUCUCUCCGGAUGCUAUUAGCUUUUCACUGCUCAGUCCAUGUGGUUCCCCUGGAAAGUUUUCGUACUAUACAAGUCCAUAGUAUUAUGUGUGUGGAAGUGGGUAUUUCCAUAGCCCUUAGUGACUAGAUAUUUGUUUCUAAUGGUUUUGUGGAAUUUAAGUUAUAUCUGAAAUCUUCUUUUGCAGAUAUAACUUAAAUUCCUCAAGAGUAUUGUGAAAUUCGCAUACUUCUUUAUAUCCCAUACAGGUGGGAGCAUAGACCUGAACACAAAGAAUCCUGAGAAAGUCUGUUCUGAAUGUUCCAGUCCAAUUUAUUUUCUGAUCUCUGUAUGACUCAACUCUGGGCCAUGCCAGUCUUAGACUCAGUCAAAUGCUGGAAAAGCUUCUUCUGGACUAAAGCACUUCAAUGACAUCUGUAAAAAAGAACUACAUUAGAAGACCUUUAUGUUCUGUAAACUGCAAUGAAAGCGGAAUUAUUUUCAACUUACUGUAUCUACUUUGAUGGUGGGUUGGAGUGUCACAUACCAUUUUAACCUAACACGGCAAUUUGUAUUCAGCACUGUGCUAAGUGUACUAGGGUCAGAGAAUACCUGAAAAUGCUAUUUUCAAGGAGUCUGCACCCUGGGGUGACAAUGCUACAAAGUGAAAAUAUGACAAACAAUAAAAAUAGUAAAAAUGCUCAAUUGUACAGUUUGGGAGAGCUACAGGCAUACUAGGCUAUAAGAGUCACAAAAAGGUUCAUAAGAAAAAAAAACAGACUGACUUAUAUCAUUAGGCACAGUUGCAGCAUAAUUUCCCUACUAUUGGCUUUUCUUGCCCCCACACCACCAUCUCAUCUUUAUUUUGCAUUGUCUACAUAAUUUAACAAAGUGAUAGACACAUAGGAGAUGCUCCAUGAGUGAUUGUAGCAUGGAUAGUGAUCAGGAGCACCUGAUGUAUGUGUCUAUUUGAGGGUUAAACAUUUUUCUACCAAUAAAAUAAUUGUGCAUUUUCUCAUAUCUCCAACAGUCAAUAAAAUGUAAUCAUAAUUAUGACUGUGUUCUCAAUCUGUGGUCUAACAGUGUUUGUGAUAUAUUCUACCAAUGCUCCUCCAAACUCAGAUGCAAUCUUAGUAAUAAACACUAUAAGUACCAAUGAUUAAUUAGGAAGAUUAAAGAAAUAUUAUCUCUUCAGAAAAAUUCUAUCUAAUUUCGGAUAGAAAUCCUCUUAAAAAUGCUAUUUCUCUUCAUGGAAAUAUUUCUCUACUUGGAAGAUUCUAAUUAACAUUAACAAACAGACUCUGUAUCACUUUGUUAUGAUGAAAACAGGGCAAAAAUACAUUUUUUUCUUUUUUACAGAAAAGGGAUGGGCGUGCUUUCCUUGUUGUUACCAUGAUGGAAAUGUGUCUGGUAUUCCUGUUUGUGUGCUAAGCUUAACAUAUUUCAAUGUUAUCUGGAAUUGGGUGAUCCUUCAACACUGUGUGAUAAGCCCAUUCUGUUUGUGCAUGUAAGCAUGUUAAAGAAAUGACUAAUAUAAAUCAAUGGAGAAUGAAUUAAACAAUAACAUAGCAGGUAAGCUAGUCAUUUAAAUUCCCUAGAAUAGUUCCCAGUGAAUUGUCCAUCAUUCACUGUUCUUUGCAGUUUAAGUGAAAUAUUACAGUAAGCAUCUUCUUUUCAAAGAAUAUCAAUUUUCCUUUACAAACAUAUUUUAUUUUAAGAAGAGCAAUAGUUUGUGAUAUAUGAAUAAUAAAAAUACCACUAUCAUAUCCACUUUGUCUUCUGUUCUUCUACAUAUGAAUAUGAGAAUAAUUUGCGUGAAAAUAAGAGGAGACUAAAAUUAUUAUGCAUCAAUUUUCUAAGAGCACUAUUUGGUUUUCAGAUUUAGAUUUAAUAGCAGUAAGCAGAGAGUGUAGGUAAAAACAAAUAUGCAAUUUUCUACACUUCUUGUCUUAGUACAUUCCUGCUGCUAUAACAAAAUACCUUAAGAUGGUUAACUUAUAAACCAUAUAUAUUCAUUGCUCACAAUUAUGGAGUCUGGGAAGUCCAAGAUCAAGCUGCUGACAGGUUCAGUGUCUGAUUAGGGUGGGUUGUCUGUUUUCAGAUGGUGCUUUGAACACUGUGUUCAGAGGAGAGGAGUGCUGUGUCCCCACAUGUCAGAAGGGAAAAUAUCCUAGCUAGUUUUCUCCAGUUCUUUUAUAAGUUUACUAAUUUGAUUCAUAAAAGCUCCACACUCAUGACUUAAUCACUUCCUAAAGUCUUCAACUCUUAAGACUUUCACAUUGGCAAUAUAGUUUCAACACAUGAAUUUUGAGAGGCAUGUUCGUAUCACAGCACCUCUUUAGCACAAAGCUAUUCUAUUCUUGAAUUUGGUUGCUUCAUGUUACCAAGAUUUCAAAACUUUACUUGUUUAAUUGAUGUUUGAAAUACUCCUUUUGCAAAAGUUUGUUUUGAAAGAAUAGGGAUUUGGGCUCUUCUAAACAGAGUUUUCAAGGUUGCCCACAUACCGAAAUUGUUCAGUUUGAGAAGGAAAUUUCUGAUCAGGAGUUCACCAGUUUUGCUCUAAUAUCACCUUUUCUGAUAUUUCUAGGAAUUGGGUUUCAUGGCUUGACAAUACUAAACAAAACUGACAUAAAAAUUGGAAAUGAGAAGGUCACAGUUUGUAACGCACUCUUCCAUACAGUGUUGGACUUGCUUCCUUUCGUUAUUUGUGUAGUUUUUCCUGCUAUAACCUUCAGAGCUCCAACCAGUUGAACUUUCAACUUGUGCUGUUAUUUUUUAGAAGAAUUGUGUGGAGAUUUUUUUCUUAUACUAGAAGGCCAAGGAGUUUAUUUUCUUUAUAGUAUUUUUUAAAACUUUUUUUGUUGUUGUUGUUACAGACUGGGUAGAGGCAUUCCACUGAGCAGUUAAAAGUUUAGACAAAAGUUAGCCAUCAAUGACAAAGUUUCUUGUAGAUUUUUUAUUCUAUUCUGUCUAUCGUUCACCAGAAAAUAGCUUUGUAAGUUUUCACUCCAGCUAUUAAAAUGGAAAUUUACACAUUUCCUAGGACAAGCAACAAUAAUAACUAAUAUUCACAUAUAUAUGUGUGUGUGUGUGAAGUUUACGAAUUCUUUCAUAAUCUGUAUUUUAUACAAAAAUAUAAUUACCACAGAAAUUUUGCUGCAAUAGUUAUUAUUACAAUCCUCAUUUUCAUAUGAGCAUGCUAAAACUCAAAGGAAAACCUGACCAAGUUCACAAACUGAUAAAUGAAAGAGCCAGGAAUAAAUCCAGACUUUUUAUAUUCCAAGUUUUCAAGUCUUUCCACUCCAACCAUAAGCCUUUCAUGAAGUCAACUUAUCCUUGCGAAAUGACUUUCUUACAAUGUAUUACACUUGAGUUGGUAUUUUAGCACUUUUUAGCACUGUUAGUAUCAGUGAAUAUGUGCUAAGUUGUAUCCACAGUCUGUAACACACACACACACACACACAUACACACACACACACACACAUAAUUAUUAACUACGGACCCUUUAAAUGCAGUUACAAGUACAACUACAAAAACACUUGUUUUAAGAGUAGCAGUCUUCAUUACAGAAAAGAGAGCCCUCAAUCAUUAAGAUACUAAAUGUCAUGUUUUACUAUGUAACACUUUCAUAUCAAAACAUUCCUGAUCAUAACCCAAUAAAACUCAGGGCAUCUUCCUCUGAAUUAUUCAGUCUUUACUGAUUUUUUGGCUCUGAAUUAAAGGAUAAAGCAUAAUUCAGCAACUAAUUAGAUGUGUACUUCUAUUUCUCUCUUAUGCUUCAUAAGUUUUUCAUCUUUCUGGCUAGAUUAUAAGUACCUUGAAAGAAGAGAUUGCCACAAACUCCUUUUUAUGUUCUAAAGAUUAUUUAGUAUAGGUCAUGGUGCAUAUUAGUAUCUAAGUAAAUAUGUAUAAUUUAUCAUAUCACAAAAUAAAGUAUUUUAAUGAUCUUUUGUCAGUUAUUAUAAACAGAUGAUAAAGUAUGGUUUUAAGUCACUCCCCUUGAUUGCUAGUUGUCUGUAAUUUAAUCUACAGCCAACCAUAUUCUCUAGACAUACAUGGUCCAUCACACCAUAAAACAUCUUGUACCAAAAAUCUACUAACAGGGAACUAUAACUUAAUACAAACUAGUUUCUUUUACUUACAUGAGAAAUCAGUCUUAUAAUGAAAAUCCACUCCUGAUAUAUCUUAGACAUGUUGUGGAGCACAUAGGGACUACAGUUUCAUUUGAAAGUUUGCAAGUGGCUACAUUCAAAGGGAAUAAUGCUGGUAAAGGGAGUCUGCUUUUCCUUCAUUGUUGAAUGCCCUGAUGAAUCAAUUAGGAUAUUUUUGUUGCAAGUGAUAGAAUGCACAAUUAAAACUGCUUUAAUAUAUGUAUUGAUUUGUCUAUAUUUCUAAAAAGUCCAGAAGUAGAGCUAGUUUCACAUAUGGUUACUCCAUUUCCCACAACUAUCUCUGCUCUACUCUAACAAUAGAAUUUAUUCUCAAGCAGACUUUGGUCAUGACAGCAAAAUUAUUGUACAUUUUCAGGCAUGACAAAUGUACAACAUGAUAUUCUCCCACCAAAUAGAAUGAGGUUUGGACAGAUAAUACAAUCUUUCAGCUGAUUCCUGUGCUUAAGGAAACACCAGAAGCUGAUUGCCUUAGGGAGAUGGGAUUCUUCUGAUUAGUGAGUACAAAUUAGAAAUCAGUCCCAAACUGAGUGUCAAUUCAAUUCCAACCACAAUUCAGAAGUAUGAAUGUUGGAGAAAAAAACUCACAAUGACUUCUACAAAAACCAAAAAACUGAUCAUUUCCAUAAAUAGAUCAUAUACUUGCACUUAGGUUAAUUAAUAAUAACCUCAAUAAAUAAUGAUAUUGUGAGUAACAAAGAAUAAGCCUGAUGCAUGAAUAUUUAUUUAUUUUUAAUUUUAUUUUAGACUUGGGAGUACACGUGCAGAUUUGUUACAAGGGUAUAAUGUGUGACUUUGAGUUUGGGGUGUGAAUGAUCCCAUUACCACGGUAACGAGCAUAGAACCCUUGUCCCUUUCUUGGAGUUCCCAAUGUCUAUUGUUGCCAUCUUUAUGUCCAUGUGUGCCCAGUGUUUAGCUCCCACUUAUAAUUGAAAACAUGGAAUAUUAGGUUUUCUGUUUCUGCAUUAAUUUGCUAAGGAUAAUGUCCUCCAGCUGUAUCCAUGCUACUGCAAGGAUGUGAUUUCUUUCAUUUUUAUGGCUGUGUAGUAUUCCAUGGUGUAUAUGUACCACUUUUUCUUUAUCCAGUCUACCGUUUAUAGGUGCCUGAGUUGAUUCCCCUGAUAAGCAUGUGAGUGCAGCUGUCUUUUUAGUAGAAUGAUUUAUUUCCCUUUGGGUAUAUACCCAGUAAUGGGAUCACUGGGUCCAAUGGUAAUUUUGUAUUCAGUUCUUUGAUAAGUAUCCAAACUGCUUUCCAUAGUGGCUGAACUAAUUUGCAUUCCUACCAACAGUGAAUAAGUGUUCCCUUUUCUUCUCAACUUCACUAACACCUGUUACUUCUUGACUUUUUAAUAAUAGCCAAUUCAACUGUAUAAGAUGGUAUCUCAUUGUGGUUUUGAUUUGCAUUUCUGAUGACUAGUGAUGUUUAAAAUUUUUACAUAUAUUUGUUGGCCACGUGGGUGUCUUCUUUUGAGAAAUGUCUGUUAAUUUCCUUUGCCCACUCUUAAAUGGGAUUAUUUGUAUUUUGCUCAAUGAUUUAAGUCUGUAGAUUCUGG